AUGGAUUAGGCAUGCAAGUCGAACGGGAGCAGCAAUGCUCCAGUGGCGCAAGGGUGAGGAACACGUGAACAACCUGCCUUCGAGUUGGGGAUAGCUUCUGGAAACGGGAGAUAAUACCGAAUAACAUCACCGGAUCGCAUGGUCUGAUGAUCAAAGCAGCAAUGCGCUUGAAGAGGGGUUCGCGUCCCAUUAGCUAGUUGGCGAGGUAACGGCCCACCAGGGCGAUGAUGGGUAGCUGGUCUGAGAGGACGAUCAGCCACAUUGGGACUGAGAUACUGCCCAGACUCCUACGGGAGGCUGCAGUCGAGAAUUUUGGGCAAUGGACGAAAGUCUGAACCCCCAGCAAUGCCGCGUGCGGGAUGAAGGUCUUCGGAUUGUAAACCGCUGUCAAGAGGGACGAAAUUUGACGGUACCUCUGGAGGAAGCCACGGCUAACUACGUGCCAGCCGCUGC
RNAcentral lists this ribosomal RNA (453 nucleotides) under uncultured bacterium. RNAcentral describes it as "bacterial SSU rRNA". It matches the Rfam family "Bacterial small subunit ribosomal RNA", at positions 44 to 518 of the family's 1533-position model. The record is from RNAcentral.